RNAcentral lists this non-coding RNA (30 nucleotides) under Macaca fascicularis (crab-eating macaque). RNAcentral also lists the same sequence under 1 other name. Lineage: Eukaryota; Metazoa; Chordata; Mammalia; Primates; Cercopithecidae. The record is from RNAcentral.
UGAGUCUUAAUUCACUCAGGCAGUACUAGC